UACAGAGGGGGCAAGCGUUGUUCGGAAUUACUGGGCGUAAAGGGCGCGUAGGCGGCCUUCUAAGUCGAACGUGAAAUCCCCGGGCUCAACCCGGGAACUGCGUCCGAUACUGGAAGGCUUGAAUCCGGGAGAGGGAUGCGGAAUUCCAGGUGUAGCGGUGAAAUGCGUAGAUAUCUGGAGGAACACCGGUGGCGAAGGCGGCAUCCUGGACCGAGACUGACGCUGAGGCGCGAAAGCGUGGGGAGCAAACAGG
Molecule: ribosomal RNA, 253 nt
Filed under: uncultured bacterium
Lineage: Bacteria
Description: partial 16S ribosomal RNA
Rfam family: Bacterial small subunit ribosomal RNA
Source: RNAcentral